This 889-nucleotide unclassified non-coding RNA is filed under the name Zea mays. Its description in RNAcentral is "misc RNA Zm00001eb184120". The record is from RNAcentral. Lineage: Eukaryota; Viridiplantae; Streptophyta; Magnoliopsida; Poales; Poaceae.
GUUAUCAUGUUCACAGCUGUGCAAUACUACAGUCAAAGAUGCACGACACGACACUGGUUGUACACACAGCAGGAGAAGAAACAAAACUCCUGCCCUUUCUUUUAUUUUAGCCGAGAUCAGGGACGAUGAGGUGGUCCUCGUCGUCGGUGACCUCGGUCCGGGCCUUCUUGCUCUGGCGCACCCCGGCGCCGGCAGUGGCAGUGGCUUUGGCUGGCCUGUAGUACGCCGCGUCGUUCGCGGCCUGGGUUCCGGAAAGCUCCGGUACCUCAGCCAAUCUCCUGCCGGCUUUCGGCGUCUGCUCGUGGAAGAGGUCGAUGUCGGUGAACCACUCCAGCUCCUUGAACCCGAGCGGGGACUCCUUGUGCAGCUGCAAAACACACACACACACAAGACCAUGCAUGAGACGGUGGGUGCACGCAGGCAGGUUGUUGGUCAUGGACCGGAGCUUGCGCUAUCGUCUUGCCUUGUCGCUGGACUCGCAGUCGGAGAACUGCAGGAGCUCGUCGACGGCCCAGCCCUGUGGCAGGAACUGCGGCGGCGAGGGCACCUGCUGCGCCGCGGAGGAGACGGCGGCCUUGGGCGGGGCGUGGUGGUCGGAGUCGUCGUGGGCGUCGCAGGCGUCACUGCACGCUGACGAAGCGGAGGCGAAGCCGACGCGGAUGUCGGUGGCGAGGUAGCGCUGGUGGUUCCCGGAGAGCGUGCCCGGGACGUGGAUGGGCUCGUCGCAGUCCCGGCAGAAGAGCGCCCGGUCCUCCACGCAGAAGAUGAACGCCGCUUUCUCCUGCGAGCGCGCGCGGGGCGGGGUGGUGGCCUCGUUGUUAGCUCGUGCCUGCCUGCCUUGUGCCGCGUGUGGCGCAUGCGCAAUGCGCUGGUGAUGUACGUACCUGGC